GGAGAGAUGGCAGAGUGGUUGAAUGUACCGCCUUGGAAAGGCGGCGUACUGGAAACGGUACCCAGGGUUCGAAUCCCUGUCUCUCCGCCA
Molecule: transfer RNA, 90 nt
Filed under: Acidipila sp. EB88
Lineage: Bacteria; Pseudomonadati; Acidobacteriota; Terriglobia; Terriglobales; Acidobacteriaceae
Description: tRNA-Ser
Rfam family: tRNA
About the family: Transfer RNA (tRNA) molecules are approximately 80 nucleotides in length.
Source: RNAcentral